This is an RNA transcript of Piliocolobus tephrosceles (Ugandan red Colobus), 2621 nucleotides long. It is a transcript of the gene named transmembrane protein 214 pseudogene, with no coding region annotated. NCBI's taxonomy places the organism in Eukaryota, Metazoa, Chordata, Mammalia, Primates, Cercopithecidae. The record is from RefSeq and is a predicted model, not a curated record. The transcript has a single exon.
GACCGGAAAGCAGGGGAAGUGGCUGAGGCGGGAGAGCUCCGAGCCAUGGCGGCCAAGACGGCGGGCGUGGGGCGCUGGGAGGUGGUGAAGAAGGGCCGGCGGCCUGGGGCCGGCGCCCGCGGCCGAGGCGGCGGCGGAAACCGCCGGGCGCUCGGGGAAGCAAAUGGAGUGUGGAAAUACGACCUGACCCCUCCAAUCCAGACCACAAGCACCCUUUAUGAGCGGGGCUUUGAGAAUAUCAUGAAGCGGCAGAAUAAGGAGCAGGUCCCACCCCCUGCUGUGGAGCCUAAGAAACCAGGGAACAAGAAGCAGCCAAAGAAGGUGGCAACUCUUCCCAACCAAAACCAGAAGCAGGGCCGCUUCCGCAGCCUGGAGGAAGCACUGAAAGCUCUGGAUGUGGCAGCCCUGCAGAAGGAACUGGAUAAGAGCCAGAGCGUGUUCUCUGGAAACCCAUCCAUAUGGUUGAAGGACCUGGCCAGCUAUCUCAACUACAAGCUACAGGCUCCUCUAAGUGAACCCACGCUGAGCCAGCAUACUCAUGAUUAUCCCUACAGCCUGGUGAGCCGGGAGCUGCGUGGGAUCAUCCGAGGGCUGCUGGCAAAGGCAGCAGGGUCUCUGGAGCUCUUUUUUGACUUUUGAUUUUUGUCUGUUCACCAUGCUGCAAGAGCUGGAUAAGACACCAGGGGAGUCACUGCAUGGUUACCGCAUCUGUAUCCAGGCCAUCCUGCAAGAAAAGCCCAAGAUUGCCACCGCAAACCUAGGCAAGUUCCUGGAACUACUGAGGUCCCACCAGAGCCGACCAGCCAAGUGUCUGACCAUCAUGUGGGCCCUGGGUCAAGCGGGUUUUGCCAACCUCACCGAGGGACUGAAAGUGUGGCUGGGGAUCAUGCUGCCUGUGCUGGGCAUCAAGUCUCUGUCUCCGUUUGCCAUCACAUACCUGGAUCGGCUGCUCCUGAUGCAUCCCAACCUUACCAAGGGCUUCGGCAUGAUUGGCCCCAAGGACUUCUUCCCACUUCUGGACUUUGCCUAUAUGCCGAACAACUCCCUGACACCCAGCCUGCAGGAGCAGCUAUGUCAGCUCUACCCCCGACUGAAGGUGCUGGCAUUUGGAGCAAAGCCGGAUUCCACCCUGCAUACCUACUUCCCUUCUUUCCUGUCCAGAGCCACCCCUAGCUGUCCCCCUGAGAUGAAGAAAGAGCUCCUGAGCAGCCUGACCGAGUGCCUGACAGUGGACCCCCUCAGCGCCAGCGUCUGGAGGCAGCUGUACCCUAAGCACCUGUCACAGUCCAGCCUGCUGCUGGAGCACUUGCUCAGCUCCUGGGAGCAGAUUCCCAAGAAGGUACAGAAGUCUUUGCAAGAAACCAUUCAGUCCCUCAAGCUUACCAACCAGGAGCUGCUGAGGAAGGGCAGCGGUAACAACCAGGAUGUCGUCACCUGUGACAUGGCCUGCAAGGGCCUGUUGCAGCAGGCUCAGGGUCCUCGGCUGCCCUGGAUGCGACUCCUCCUGUUGCUGCUGGUCUUCACUGUAGGCUUCCUGUGCCAUGACCUCUGGUCACACAGCUCCUUCCAGGCCUCCCUUACUGGCCGGUUGCUUCGAACAUCUGGUUUCUUACCUGCUAGCCAACAAGCGUGUGCCAAGCUCUACUCCUACAGUCUGCAAGGCUACAGCUGGCUGGAGGAGACACUACCUGUCUGGGGCUCUCACCUGCUCACCGUGGUGCGGCCCAGCUUGCAGCUGGCCUGGGCUCACACCAAUGCCACAGUCAGCUUCUUUUCUGCCCACUGUGCCUCUCACCUUGCCUGGUUUGGUGACAGCCUCACCAGCCUCUCUCAGAGGCUACAGAUCCAGCUCCCUGAUUCCCUGAAUCAGCUGCUCUGCUAUCUGAGAGAGCUGCCCCUGCUUUUCUACCAGAAUGUGCUGCUGCCAUUGUGGCACCUCUUGCUUGAGGCCCUGGCCAGCGCCCACGAGCACUGCCAUGAGGCAUGCAGAGGUGAGGUGACGUGGGACUGCAUGAAGACACAGCUCAGUGAGGCUGUCCACUGGAUCUGGCUCUGCCUACAGGACAUCACAGUGGCUUUCUUGGACUGGGCACUUGCCCUGAUAUCCCAGCAGUAGGCCGUGCCUCCCUGGCCACUGAUUUCUGCGUGGGCAAACCAUCCAAGACUGCAGCGGGUAGAAGGCGGCAGUUCUUCAUGGGAGUCCUUUUAACUUGGUGCCUGAGUUCUCUCCUAGGCAAGUGGCCAGUUGCCUCCACCUCAGUUCUUCCAUCUUUGGUGGGGACAGGGCCCAGCGGCAUCUCAGCCUCCUACCCACAAUUCCACUGAACACUUUCUGGACCUACUGCACAUGGCCCCCAGCCUCCAUCCUUGUGAUGGUAGCCUCUCACAACUCCGCCCUUGCCCUCUGCCUUCCACUUCCUUCCAUCUCAUUUCUAAACCCCAAAUAGCUCAUCUCUAAAAAGACAGAACUCCCAGCAGGUGGCUUCUGUGUUCUUCUGACAAAUGAUUCCUGCUUCUCCAGACUUUAGCAGCCUCCUGUUCCCAUUCUUGGUCACACCUCUAGCCACAGCAGAAGGAAAGGGGCUUCCAGAAGAAUAUAGCCCCUCAUGUCCACUGACAGC